UACGUAGGGUGCAGGCGUUAAUCGGAAUUACUGGGCGUAAAGCGUGCGCAGGCGGUUUGUUAAGACAGAUGUGAAAUCCCCGGGCUCAACCUGGGAACUGCAUUUGUGACUGCAUAGCUGGAGUACGGUAGAGGGGGGUGGAAUUCCGCGUGUAGCAGUGAAAUGCGUAGAUAUGCGGAGGAACACCGAUGGCGAAGGCAAUCCCCUGGACCUGUACUGACGCUCAUGCACGAAAGCGUGGGGAGCAAACAGG
This 253-nucleotide ribosomal RNA is filed under the name uncultured bacterium. RNAcentral's name for it is "partial 16S ribosomal RNA". It matches the Rfam family "Bacterial small subunit ribosomal RNA", at positions 524 to 776 of the family's 1533-position model. The record is from RNAcentral.